GAUAGGAAAGCCUUCUUGCAAUCAUCCCAGGUGGUGAUUGAGUCAUGAGGCAUAUUCUUCUCCCACAUGUGUGCUUUGUCGCCCAAGGAGAAUGGAAACAAAUGGAGCUUGAAUCCGUCUUUACUGACACCAUUGAUUUUUGUUAGGUUACAGAGCCUAUCGAAUUCAUCAAGGUGGUCGAGUGGAUCCUCCAUUGGCAGACCAUGGAAUUUGUUCCCCUGAAUCAUCGAGAUGAGAUCACUCUUAAUCUCGAAGUUGUUGUUCUCGAUAGCAGGAGGUGCAAUUCCUUUCCGCUGACGGUGAUCUUGUGGUGCAUCUCGAGCUCCAAUGUUGGCAGGGCCAUUUUGUUGAUUCUGUUCGUCAGCCAUUUCGAGUGGUUGCUGAGGUACAAGGUUGACUGUGUUUCUCCUUUCUCUUAGUUCGCGAGCUAUGCGGUCGAUGUUAUCAUUGAAAAGGAGGUUCUGAUUGCCUGUUGAUCGAGUUUGCAUACAGUAGAGGUGUACCUGGAUCAAGAAGACAACAAGAAAAACACACAGUUAGCAAUCGAUUUGAAAAUUGAAAAAGAAUUUGAUCUAAGCAAGUCUGAAAUCUCAAAUGUAACAAACAAACACCCAAUUGGCAACGACACCAAAUUGAUAAUAGGUUUUUAAGAUCAAUUAAUCCUAAAGCACUAUCAUGUCGUUGUAAUACUGAAGGUUGUCAAUCCAAAUGGGUGUGAUGCUAACAAUCAAGAUGUGAUCAGAAGUCACUAAGUCAAGCCAAGCAUUAACAGGUUUUGGUGUGUUCUAGUAGUACUAAGUGAACAUGCAGAAAACAGAAAAUCAAAAAGAAACAGUAAAACACUCGACCAACACAGCUCAUUGCAGAGCGCUGGGUGAGGUCGAGUAACAGACAGUGAAUUAAACAAAGAUACUCGACUGCAUAGUCUGUUGCGAGACAACUGGGUGAUUGAGUAUCAGGUCGAGUAACAAGAAAGAAUUGUAGAAACUAAGCAACAGAUGACAAGAUGCGGUAAACAAAAGUAAAGUAAACAAUAAAUUCAAUCAGAUAAAGAAUUCCCGAGGAUGGGGUAAUUU
Molecule: small RNA, 1076 nt
Filed under: Arabidopsis thaliana (thale cress)
Lineage: Eukaryota; Viridiplantae; Streptophyta; Magnoliopsida; Brassicales; Brassicaceae
Description: ATSL090900
Source: RNAcentral